AUGUUAUCUGCACAACAAUAGUACAAAUUAGAGCAAAUCUGCAGAUCACAGCUGGUUAUUAACACACUGCUUAUACAAAGUAUACUUCUUUCAAAUUCAGAUGCUGUAAUUGACUGCAAAUGAAAAGCUUUUCAUUGUUAUCUUUCAAGUCAAUACUUGCUUCACUAAAAGUGUCAGUAGAACCUUGGCAGAAAAUUAUACUUCAAUAAGUCUAUUUGAUUUGACUUACUGAAAAAUGCAUAUUUGAAGAAUACUGAUGCACUGUGGGAUAUUCAGUAGCUAAAAUAGAUAUGCCUGCUCUUGUGUAUUAUCUUCAAAUCAGUUACACAUUUCUAAUGCAGACUGGUUAUAGAUGGCUUUUAUUCACAGUUAGGAAACAGGAUGGUAGGACACACUUUUACAGAAGUGUCAAAGAAUGGUGCCUACAUUCCCCUUAAAAAGUAGUCACACCUUUAAGAUAUCUGGGGACAAUGUGUUUCAGUUGCUAUACUCCUUCAUAUUAAUUAAACUGUCAUGGACUAAUCACCUAAUAUCAUUGCUGCUUAAGCAGAAAGGUUUCUUGUAGGCGUGCUUGCUUUUCUUAGGAUUAGCAAGAAGAUCAAGGAAGAAACACGUGCAAGAGAACAGAGAGCAACCAAGCCUGUAAUGCAGGCUGUAAGUUAUAUGAAGUUCUACAUGGAGGAAAUACAAAAAUCAACAAUACAGUUUGGAAAACUAGCUCAGUGAGUCAUCGUGAAGCAAAAGGACUGUAUUUGCUAUCAUGGAAAGGCAAUAUGGUACACAUAAA
Molecule: non-coding RNA, 787 nt
Organism: Taeniopygia guttata (zebra finch)
Lineage: Eukaryota; Metazoa; Chordata; Aves; Passeriformes; Estrildidae
Source: RefSeq, a predicted model, not a curated record